AGACCGAUAGCAAACAAGUACCGUGAGGGAAGAUUGAAAAGAACUUUGAAGAGAGAGUUCAAUAGUACGUGAAACUGUGUGGUGGUAAACGGAGGGGUUCUCGAAGUCUCUGCGGGGAACUCAACCUUGGUGUCCGGCAGUCAGGGUGCGUCCGAUCAGCAAUGACGGUGCUCUCUGUCCGGCCUGGCUCUCGGGUGCAUUUCCCCCGCAGUUUACGGCAGGAACCGUUUGGUGCGGACCGAAGGCCUCGGGUGAAGUUGUCGGUUCUGCUGGCAGCCCUGUGUGUCCUGGCUCCGCGCUCGACGGGUACGUGAGAGGACUCGUAUAGCGAGCAACGCUCUGUUGCGGUUCUCAUCUCUCUGCCGAGUAGGUCGGCGGCCCCUCCGACCCGUCUUGAAACACGGAC
RNAcentral lists this ribosomal RNA (406 nucleotides) under Gaetanus armiger. RNAcentral's name for it is "eukaryotic LSU rRNA". It matches the Rfam family "Eukaryotic large subunit ribosomal RNA", at positions 331 to 666 of the family's 3401-position model. Lineage: Eukaryota; Metazoa; Arthropoda; Copepoda; Calanoida; Aetideidae. The record is from RNAcentral.